RNAcentral lists this long non-coding RNA (569 nucleotides) under Bos taurus (domestic cattle). RNAcentral's name for it is "long non-coding RNA NONBTAT025946". Lineage: Eukaryota; Metazoa; Chordata; Mammalia; Artiodactyla; Bovidae. The record is from RNAcentral.
GUUUAAUGUAUCAGAUAUAAAGAAAAAAUUUUAAUUUACACAAUGGUAGAUCAUUUAAGAAGAGAUUCUAAAAAAGGAGAGAGCUAGUGGAAGCUAUCUUGUCAGCCAGCUGAAGCAGAUCAGGGUGUCCAGGGUUUAAAGUGGGGCCCCUGCCUACCUUCAAGUCAGAAUCAGUGCAGGUCCAGCCUGGCAUCACCACACCAAUUCCACCCUGCUCACCAGCUGUGGGCAUGGCCUGAUUGCUCAGAAUGGGCUCAUCAUUUACUUUGAAUUAUGGUAUUUUAUCAUGUGAUUAUUUUAUCACAGCAUCUGAACUGUGAAAAGAAUGAACAUUUAGUAUGGGUUCAUGUUAAGUUUAGAGACUUGUGGAGAUUAAAUGCUUUUCAGGCAGUAAAUAAGGGCAUUAGUGAUACUAACUGGUGACCCCUCAAUUGUCAAAAGAAAAACCAUGCCACCUGCAGUUAUUUAAAUGUUAACUUUUUUACCUUUAUUGUUUAUAGUCGGUAUAGACUGAGAGGUUGAGCAUAUUUGUGGUUAGACUGUCUUGGUUUUUUUUUUUUCUUCCCUUU